CCUACGGGAGGCAGCAGUGGGGAAUAUUGGGCAAUGGGCGCAAGCCUGACCCAGCAACGCCGCGUGAAGGAAGAAGGCUUUCGGGUUGUAAACUUCUUUUCUCAGGGACGAAGAAUGUGACGGUACCUGAGGAAUAAGCUACGGCUAACUACGUGCCAGCAGCCGCGGUAAUACGUAGGUGGCAAGCGUUAUCCGGAUUUACUGGGUGUAAAGGGCGUGUAGGCGGAACUGCAAGUCAGGUGUGAAAACCACGGGCUCAACCUGUGACCUGCAUUUGAAACUGUAGUUCUGGAGUGCUGGAGAGGCAGACGGAAUUCCUGGUGUAGCGGUGAAAUGCGUAGAUAUUAGGAGGAACACCAGUGGCGAAGGCGAUCUGCUGGACAGCAACUGACGCUGAGGCGCGAAAGCGUGGGGAGCAAACAGGAUUAGAUACCCGAGUAGUC
RNAcentral lists this ribosomal RNA (443 nucleotides) under uncultured bacterium. Its description in RNAcentral is "partial 16S ribosomal RNA". It matches the Rfam family "Bacterial small subunit ribosomal RNA", at positions 338 to 795 of the family's 1533-position model. The record is from RNAcentral.